Molecule: non-coding RNA, 680 nt
Filed under: Pan troglodytes (chimpanzee)
Lineage: Eukaryota; Metazoa; Chordata; Mammalia; Primates; Hominidae
Source: RNAcentral
CCGUAAUUCUGAGGCCUCACAGCCAUGUGGAACUGCCCCAUCCAAUCACGAGAAAGCUCCAGGGCUUUGUGACAAGAUGCAGUCCCAACAUCCUGUUUUGGUCUAACCAUAACUUGGGUGUUCCGCUCCAAACACGACCUCUGUGUCUGAACACUCAGCCCACUAGCAUUUGUGAUUCUGAGUCCUCAGCCGCAGAGAAGCAGGAGGAAAACAGGAGUUGUCACUGGUAGAGAAGGAAGCAGCCCAAGGGACAAAGGUCAGGAUACGGUUACGCAAAUGGUGCUAGCCCACACCCUCCUGGAGAGAGGCCUGGAAGAUGGGGGGGUCAUUCAGAGACCCCAGUUGUUGGGGGGACCUGCUUUCCAGGAGAAGAAAGGAGCUUCAGAACCUUCAAUACCUGCUCCUGUGCCCCACCAGGCUGUGGCCUCUUUCAUAAGGAAAGAGCAAUAAGUCUUCAGGAGAGAACUAACAUCCAAAUGGAUUCCCAGAAAACUUUUCCCUCGAUGUACCAGCAAACACCUACAAUGCCUGGAAAAGCUGCCUCUGCGACCACAAUGCAGAUCACACGUCCUGUCCCAGCCCCUGCAGCCUCCACGCGGCGGGUGAGCUGCCAGGCACGGGAAGGCAGCACUGGCGAGCAGAACUGGCCCAUUUUGCAGAUAGGAAGCUGAGCCUCAGGG